Vidua macroura (Pin-tailed whydah) is the source of this 622-nucleotide long non-coding RNA. RefSeq lists it as uncharacterized. The record is from RefSeq and is a predicted model, not a curated record. Lineage: Eukaryota; Metazoa; Chordata; Aves; Passeriformes; Viduidae. The transcript has 4 exons.
UCCCCUGAGAGAUUUUACUUUCUUCUCUUUGCAUCUGAGUCCUCACAAGGGCUGAAUGUGAGGUGUGAUGUGGAGAGGGCGCAGCAUCACAGCCAUUCACAGCAUUCCCAAGAAGGGUGUCUGGGAAGGACACUCUUCUUUCUCCACUAGAGCAUUUAGUACCUGCACAUCACAGAAAACAUCUUCACCUUUGCAGCACGUUGAAAUGCUACUUCCUGGAUUCGUCUCUGCUGCUGCCCUGCACCCAAAGAGCCAUGUGUGAUGCCUGGUCAGCUUGAAAAAUGAUGCUUUUGUGCUAUAUGCUGAAACACAUGAUGUAACUGAUGGCCAGGAUAAGAGUCAGAUGCUCAGCAAGGGUAAAUUGCCAUGGCUUCAGUCAAAUGAAAUGAGGUGCUAUCAAGAAGAAGCAGUGGAGCAUUUGGUCCCUCAGCUCAGAUGAGGCUCUAAACCUCAGCCUGCCAGAGGCAGGCAUUGGCAGUGAAAGGAGGAAGAGACUCUGUCCAAGGGAGAAGAUUGCUGUCUUUGCUGGUUCUGUGGCUUACUGAACAGGACAUGGAUGGUGGCCUGGGACAUGGGACUGAGGACAGAUCCUGAACUGCUUCCAGUUUGGAGUACCCAGAAG